This 252-nucleotide ribosomal RNA is filed under the name uncultured bacterium. RNAcentral describes it as "partial 16S ribosomal RNA". It matches the Rfam family "Bacterial small subunit ribosomal RNA", at positions 524 to 776 of the family's 1533-position model. The record is from RNAcentral.
UACGGGGGGGCAAGCGUUGUUCGGAAUUACUGGGCGUAAAGGGCUUGUAGGUGGCCAACUAAGUCAGACGUGAAAUCCCUCGGCUUAACCGGGGAACUGCGUCUGAUACUGGAUGGCUGGAGUGUGGGAGAGGGAUGCGGAAUUCCAGGUGUAGCGGUGAAAUGCGUAGAUAUCUGGAGGAACACCGGUGGCGAAGGCGGCAUCCUGGACCAUUACUGACACUGAAAAGCGAAAGCCAGGGGAGCAAACGGG